GCUGGGUGCUGUUGUGGCAGGUGACUGUCAUCCCACCUACUCAAGAUGCUGAGGUGGGAGGAUCGCUCGAUUCCAGGAGUUCUGGGCUAGAGUGCUCUGUGCUGAUCUGGUGUCCAUACUAGUUCAGCAUCAAUAUGGUGACCUCUUAGGAGUGAGGGACCACCAGGUUGCCUAAGGUGGGGUGAACUGGCCCAGGUUGGAAAUGGAGCAGGUCAAAACUCCUGUGCUGAUUAGUAGUGGGGUCAUGCCUGUGAAUUUCUAUUGCUAGCAAGCCUGGACAACCCAGCAAAAGUGCCUGUCUCUA
Otolemur garnettii (small-eared galago) is the source of this 304-nucleotide non-coding RNA. The record is from Rfam. NCBI's taxonomy places the organism in Eukaryota, Metazoa, Chordata, Mammalia, Primates, Galagidae.